CUUGCUUUCUUUUGCUGGCGACCGGCGCACGGGUGAGUAACACGUAUCCAACCUGCCCUUUACUCGGGGAUAGCCUUUCGAAAGAAAGAUUAAUACCCGAUAGUAUAAUGAUUCCGCAUGGUUUCAUUAUUAAAGGAUUCCGGUAAAGGAUGGGGAUGCGUUCCAUUAGGUUGUUGGUGAGGUAACGGCUCACCAAGCCUUCGAUGGAUAGGGGUUCUGAGAGGAAGGUCCCCCACAUUGGAACUAAGACACGGUCCAA
RNAcentral lists this ribosomal RNA (259 nucleotides) under uncultured bacterium. RNAcentral describes it as "partial 16S ribosomal RNA". It matches the Rfam family "Bacterial small subunit ribosomal RNA", at positions 72 to 334 of the family's 1533-position model. The record is from RNAcentral.